UACGUAGGGGGCGAGCGUUGUCCGGAAUUAUUGGGCGUAAAGAGCGUGUAGGCGGUUCGGUAAGUCUGCCGUGAAAACCUGGGGCUCAACCCCGGGCGUGCGGUGGAUACUGCCGGGCUAGAGGGUGGUAGAGGCGAGUGGAAUUCCCGGUGUAGCGGUGAAAUGCGCAGAUAUCAGGAAGAACACCAAUGGCGAAGGCAGCUCUCUGGGACGGUACUGACGCUGAGACGCGAAAGCGUGGGGAGCGAACAGG
This 253-nucleotide ribosomal RNA is filed under the name uncultured bacterium. Its description in RNAcentral is "partial 16S ribosomal RNA". It matches the Rfam family "Bacterial small subunit ribosomal RNA", at positions 524 to 776 of the family's 1533-position model. The record is from RNAcentral.